Misgurnus anguillicaudatus (oriental weatherfish) is the source of this 279-nucleotide non-coding RNA. NCBI's taxonomy places the organism in Eukaryota, Metazoa, Chordata, Actinopteri, Cypriniformes, Cobitidae. The record is from RefSeq and is a predicted model, not a curated record.
AGGCUUUUACCUAACUUAACUGUAUUUAGUAUUAAUGAUGCUGCAUUCUUUCCUCAGAAGCUAAAGUUUUUCAAAGACAUUUGUAGGGAGGACUUUGCAGCUAAUGAUUUCCUACGGCUGAACCAAAACCUGCCAGACUAAAGUUGAUUUGGGAGAGAAAGACGUUGUAAACUUAAUCAUCUUGACAUUCUUCAAUGAGUAAUUGUUCAAUUUUUAGGCAAAUACUGUACACUUUGAAUGCUGUGAAUAAAACUAUAUUUUAAAUAUAUUUAAAAUGAA